CAAUAGCGUAUAUUAAAGUUGUUGCGGUUAAAAAGCUCGUAGUUGGAUUUCUGCCGAGGACGACCGGUCCGCCCUCUGGGUGAGUAUCUGGUUCGGCCUGGGCAUCUUCUUGGAGAACGUAUCUGCACUUGACUGUGUGGUGCGGUAUCCAGGACUUUUACUUUGAGGAAAUUAGAGUGUUCAAAGCAGGCCUAUGCUCUGAAUAGCUUAGCAUGGAAUAAUAGAAUAGGACUUCGGUACUAUUUUGUUGGUUUCUAGGACCGAAGUAAUGAUUAAUAGGGACAGUUGGGGGCAUUUAUAUUCCAUUGUCAGAGGUGAAAUUCUUGGAUUAACGGAAGAUAAACUACUGCGAAAGCAUCUGCCAAGGAUGUUUUCAUUGAUCAAGAACGAAAGUUAGGGGAUCGAAGACGAUCAGAUACCGU
Molecule: ribosomal RNA, 422 nt
Filed under: uncultured eukaryote
Lineage: Eukaryota
Description: bacterial SSU rRNA
Rfam family: Eukaryotic small subunit ribosomal RNA
Source: RNAcentral